RNAcentral lists this ribosomal RNA (383 nucleotides) under uncultured bacterium. RNAcentral describes it as "bacterial SSU rRNA". It matches the Rfam family "Bacterial small subunit ribosomal RNA", at positions 29 to 440 of the family's 1533-position model. The record is from RNAcentral.
AGCGAACGCUGGCGGCAGGCUUAACACAUGCAAGUCGAACGGAUCCUUCGGGAUUAGUGGCGGACGGGUGAGUAACACGUGGGAACGUGCCUUUUGGUUCGGAACAACACAGGGAAACUUGUGCUAAUACCGGAUGUGCCCUUCGGGGAAGAUUUAUCGCCAUUAGAGCGGCCCGCGUCUGAUUAGCUAGUUGGUGAGGUAAAGGCUCACCAAGGCUACGAUCAGUAGCUGGUCNGAGAGGAUGAUCAGCCACACUGGGACUGAGACACGGCCCAGACUCCUACGGGAGGCAGCAGUGGGGAAUCUUGCGCAAGUGGGGGAAACCCUGACGCAGCCAUGCCGCGUGAAUGAUGAAGGUCUUAGGAUUGUAAAAUUCUUUCAGC